UACAGAGGGUGCGAGCGUUAAUCGGAAUUAUUGGGCGUAAAGGGCGCGUAGGCGGCGAGGCAAGUGGAAGGUGAAAUCCCUCGGCUUAACCGAGGAACUGCCCUCCAAACUGCUUUGCUUGAGGCCGGGAGAGGUGAGUGGAAUUCCCAGUGUAGCGGUGAAAUGCGUAGAUAUUGGGAGGAACACCAGUGGCGAAGGCGGCUCACUGGACCGGUUCUGACGCUGAGGCGCGAAAGCGUGGGGAGCAAACGGG
RNAcentral lists this ribosomal RNA (253 nucleotides) under uncultured bacterium. RNAcentral describes it as "partial 16S ribosomal RNA". It matches the Rfam family "Bacterial small subunit ribosomal RNA", at positions 524 to 776 of the family's 1533-position model. The record is from RNAcentral.